Long non-coding RNA from Lates calcarifer (barramundi perch), 2247 nucleotides. RefSeq lists it as uncharacterized. The record is from RefSeq and is a predicted model, not a curated record. NCBI's taxonomy places the organism in Eukaryota, Metazoa, Chordata, Actinopteri, Centropomidae. The transcript has 3 exons.
UAGCGUAUGCCUAUCCGCCACAUUUAAGUCUUCUCUUCGUUUUUACGGUGAAUUUUAAGACCAAUCAGAGGCUGUUGCUAGGCGAACCGGAAUGGCCUGGCCAAUCAGCGUUUUUCUGCAAAUGUUAGCUGACGUAUGUCGUCAUUGGUCGCGACGUGUCUCCUGAUUGGCCAUGGCCCUCUGGGGAGGAGCGCAGAGAGGUGGAGUCGGAAAACAGAUUUAAGCCAAGUUUGAACCGUUGCUUCUGUUUGCUAGUACUGAAGUGAAAAACGUCCUUAUCAGAUCUGGAUGCUUUAACAAACGCUAGAGCUGCUUUUUUUUAUCGUUAAUGAAGAGGUCUGGAUGCUAAAAAAAACUCUGGAGCUGGUUUUUGUCGAACACGAGUGAGAAUGGACGCUGAACACACCUGCGGCGCGAAGGUAAGGCAAGUAGUUAGCGGCUAGCGUUAGCAUUAACGUUAUCGGAGAGCGUUAGCGUUAGCAUUUCAGUGUAACUAAUUUUUAAAAUUCCAUUUUCAGUCAUUUUUAUCGAGUGGGUAAGAGUGUGUUUGUGUUUCUGUGACUAAAGCGUCCCUGACAUGAGUUUUGGAGGGUGAUAACUGUUUAGUAGUCUGUUUGUCUGUUUACAACUCAGUUUGCAUCUCUUUACAGUUACUUUGCAGACUUUGUGCUCCAGUUUAUGGCGGAUUAUCAUAUCGAUGUGAUCAUUUUAUGUUUCUUUGAGGUGGUAUUGCAUUGUUUUGCGUCUUUAGCAUCUUUAUAUCUAUUUAUGGUCAGUUUCUUUGUGGUUGUUUUGCAUCGCGUUGUGUCUGUAGUUUUGUGACUAUUCCAGGUGAUUUAACGUUUAUAUUUGUGGCCAUUUUGUGUUUCAGUGUGGCAGUUGAACAUCUCAUAGUGAUCAUUUUGCGACUCAGUUUUUCUGGGUUUUUGCGUCGUUUUGUGUGUGUUUUGUAGUUUUGCGGUUGUAAUCUGGCCAUAGCCGAACGCAUGUUGUGCAUAUUAUUGAUGAGAACUUUCUCUGUGGUGCCUUGAGAUUUUAUUGAGCUUAGUUUUGUGUUAAAUACAAACUUGAAAACUAGAUUUUAACUCUGUGCUCCUCCACAAGUUCUAAGCCUCAAGAGUAGGUCACAGUGUAUGAGCUGAGAUUAGAAAUAGUUAUAAAAAGCUAUUUUUAAAAUUGCUUUUUUUCCUGUGUGAUCAAUAAAGUCAUUCUAGUGACAUAAUUUAGUCUAGGGCUGCAGCUAAAGAUUGUUUUUCCCAUUAGUCAACGAUUAUUUCUGUCACAACCUCCAUCUCUGCUUCCUGUGGGCGCAGCACCUGCUCUGGGCUCCACCUUAUACCUCACCUGCUGAAGUCUGCACACUUGAACGCGGAUGCGGGGUUGAGGGUUUGUUGUCUGUAAUGUUACAUAUGGAUGUCGGAGGAGAGGACUAGAGCUACCCUCUCCCUGCCAGCACAGCCACUGUGAGCAGAUAGCGAAGUGCACCUGUGAUUUUUCAGAGACCUACAACACUUGUAGGAGCUUUUCUUGCUUUUCUUGUCUUUGACGUUGUUGUCAACCCGUCGUCUCUGCAGCUCUUCCACGGACACGAAAAACAGGAAGCAGGGAAAGAAACGUGAACGAUUCAAACUUCAACCAUUAAAGCACAGAGAGAAGAGACAGACGUGAAGACAUUUCCAGAAGGUCUUCAGCUGCUGUCGUCUUCUCCUCCUGCAGAGACAAGAACACCUGUUAAUCACAGAAACUGAUCAGUAAAUCAAAAUAUUUUUAUGACAUACUAUUCUGACAUUUUUUGAUGUUUUUCUUCCUUACUAAAGACAAUGUAAGGAAUGCCUUACUAUAUUAUGACAUUUUUUCUUGUGUUUUGACACCUUACUACACUGACCUCUUUUUUUUUUUGAAUGCCCUACUAAACUGUGACAUGCAGCUUAAGACAAAGGAACUAUCUUAAAGUAGCCAUCCUACCUUUGUUUUCCACAGACACACAUACACCUCUACACAGUGUUUGUGGGUUAGAUUAGAUUUUCAUUUUGGUAAUGACAAUUGCAAUAUAAGUACUUAAAUCCAAUCUAUUACUGUGUAUGUAGUCCUGGUUAUACUGUUCAUAUUGUGUAUAAUUUUUAUAUAUUAUUGUAUGUUAUCUUGUUUUAUAUUUUGUAUAUAUAAGGCCGUUUUAUAUUUUUGUUGUUGCAACACUGAAUUUCCCCAUUGUGGGACUGAUAAAGGAUUAUCUUACUCAAAUAAAUA